GGUUAAGCGACUAAGCGUACACGGUGGAUGCCCUGGCAGUCAGAGGCGAUGAAGGACGUGCUAAUCUGCGAUAAGCGUCGGUGAGGUGAUAUGAACCGUUAUAACCGGCGAUUUCCGAAUGGGGAAACCCAGUGUGAUUCGUCACACUAUCAUUAACUGAAUCCAUAGGUUAAUGAGGCGAACCGGGGGAACUGAAACAUCUAAGUACCCCGAGGAAAAGAAAUCAACCGAGAUUCCCCCAGUAGCGGCGAGCGAACGGGGAGCAGCCCAGAGCCUGAAUCAGUGUGUGUGUUAGUGGAAGCGUCUGGAAAGGCGCGCGAUACAGGGUGACAGCCCCGUACACAAAAAUGCACAUAUUGUGAGCUCGAUGAGUAGGGCGGGACACGUGGUAUCCUGUCUGAAUAUGGGGGGACCAUCCUCCAAGGCUAAAUACUCCUGACUGACCGAUAGUGAACCAGUACCGUGAGGGAAAGGCGAAAAGAACCCCGGCGAGGGGAGUGAAAAAGAACCUGAAACCGUGUACGUACAAGCAGUGGGAGCACGCUUAGGCGUGUGACUGCGUACCUUUUGUAUAAUGGGUCAGCGACUUAUAUUCUGUAGCAAGGUUAACCGAAUAGGGGAGCCGAAGGGAAACCGAGUCUUAACUGGGCGUUAAGUUGCAGGGUAUAGACCCGAAACCCGGUGAUCUAGCCAUGGGCAGGUUGAAGGUUGGGUAACACUAACUGGAGGACCGAACCGACUAAUGUUGAAAAAUUAGCGGAUGACUUGUGGCUGGGGGUGAAAGGCCAAUCAAACCGGGAGAUAGCUGGUUCUCCCCGAAAGCUAUUUAGGUAGCGCCUCGUGAAUUCAUCUCCGGGGGUAGAGCACUGUUUCGGCAAGGGGUCAUCCCGACUUACCAACCCGAUGCAAACUGCGAAUACCGGAGAAUGUUAUCACGGGAGACACACGGCGGGUGCUAACGUCCGUCGUGAAGAGGGAAACAACCCAGACCGCCAGCUAAGGUCCCAAAGUCAUGGUUAAGUGGGAAACGAUGUGGGAAGGCCCAGACAGCCAGGAUGUUGGCUUAGAAGCAGCCAUCAUUUAAAGAAAGCGUAAUAGCUCACUGGUCGAGUCGGCCUGCGCGGAAGAUGUAACGGGGCUAAACCAUGCACCGAAGCUGCGGCAGCGACGCUUAUGCGUUGUUGGGUAGGGGAGCGUUCUGUAAGCCUGUGAAGGUGUGCUGUGAGGCAUGCUGGAGGUAUCAGAAGUGCGAAUGCUGACAUAAGUAACGAUAAAGCGGGUGAAAAGCCCGCUCGCCGGAAGACCAAGGGUUCCUGUCCAACGUUAAUCGGGGCAGGGUGAGUCGACCCCUAAGGCGAGGCCGAAAGGCGUAGUCGAUGGGAAACAGGUUAAUAUUCCUGUACUUGGUGUUACUGCGAAGGGGGGACGGAGAAGGCUAUGUUGGCCGGGCGACGGUUGUCCCGGUUUAAGCGUGUAGGCUGGUUUUCCAGGCAAAUCCGGAAAAUCAAGGCUGAGGCGUGAUGACGAGGCACUACGGUGCUGAAGCAACAAAUGCCCUGCUUCCAGGAAAAGCCUCUAAGCAUCAGGUAACAUCAAAUCGUACCCCAAACCGACACAGGUGGUCAGGUAGAGAAUACCAAGGCGCUUGAGAGAACUCGGGUGAAGGAACUAGGCAAAAUGGUGCCGUAACUUCGGGAGAAGGCACGCUGAUAUGUAGGUGAAGUCCCUUGCGGAUGGAGCUGAAAUCAGUCGAAGAUACCAGCUGGCUGCAACUGUUUAUUAAAAACACAGCACUGUGCAAACACGAAAGUGGACGUAUACGGUGUGACGCCUGCCCGGUGCCGGAAGGUUAAUUGAUGGGGUCAGCGCAAGCGAAGCUCUUGAUCGAAGCCCCGGUAAACGGCGGCCGUAACUAUAACGGUCCUAAGGUAGCGAAAUUCCUUGUCGGGUAAGUUCCGACCUGCACGAAUGGCGUAAUGAUGGCCAGGCUGUCUCCACCCGAGACUCAGUGAAAUUGAACUCGCUGUGAAGAUGCAGUGUACCCGCGGCAAGACGGAAAGACCCCGUGAACCUUUACUAUAGCUUGACACUGAACAUUGAGCCUUGAUGUGUAGGAUAGGUGGGAGGCUUAGAAGUGUGGACGCCAGUCUGCAUGGAGCCGACCUUGAAAUACCACCCUUUAAUGUUUGAUGUUCUAACGUUGACCCGUAAUCCGGGUUGCGGACAGUGUCUGGUGGGUAGUUUGACUGGGGCGGUCUCCUCCUAAAGAGUAACGGAGGAGCACGAAGGUUGGCUAAUCCUGGUCGGACAUCAGGAGGUUAGUGCAAUGGCAUAAGCCAGCUUGACUGCGAGCGUGACGGCGCGAGCAGGUGCGAAAGCAGGUCAUAGUGAUCCGGUGGUUCUGAAUGGAAGGGCCAUCGCUCAACGGAUAAAAGGUACUCCGGGGAUAACAGGCUGAUACCGCCCAAGAGUUCAUAUCGACGGCGGUGUUUGGCACCUCGAUGUCGGCUCAUCACAUCCUGGGGCUGAAGUAGGUCCCAAGGGUAUGGCUGUUCGCCAUUUAAAGUGGUACGCGAGCUGGGUUUAGAACGUCGUGAGACAGUUCGGUCCCUAUCUGCCGUGGGCGCUGGAGAACUGAGGGGGGCUGCUCCUAGUACGAGAGGACCGGAGUGGACGCAUCACUGGUGUUCGGGUUGUCAUGCCAAUGGCACUGCCCGGUAGCUAAAUGCGGAAGAGAUAAGUGCUGAAAGCAUCUAAGCACGAAACUUGCCCCGAGAUGAGUUCUCCCUGACUCCUUGAGAGUCCUGAAGGAACGUUGAAGACGACGACGUUGAUAGGCCGGGUGUGUAAGCGCAGCGAUGCGUUGAGCUAACCGGUACUAAUGAACCGUGAGGCUUAACCUU
Molecule: ribosomal RNA, 2903 nt
Filed under: Escherichia coli
Lineage: Bacteria; Pseudomonadati; Pseudomonadota; Gammaproteobacteria; Enterobacterales; Enterobacteriaceae
Description: 23S ribosomal RNA
Rfam family: Bacterial large subunit ribosomal RNA
Source: RNAcentral